RNAcentral lists this ribosomal RNA (276 nucleotides) under uncultured archaeon. RNAcentral's name for it is "partial 16S rRNA". It matches the Rfam family "Archaeal small subunit ribosomal RNA", at positions 1047 to 1325 of the family's 1478-position model. The record is from RNAcentral.
GAGACCCACGCCCACAGUUGCCAGCGUACCCUCCGGGGUGACGGGUACACUGUGGGGACCGCCGCUAAAGCGGAGGAAGGAAUGGGCAACGGUAGGUCAGUAUGCCCCGAAUAUCCCGGGCUACACGCGGGCUACAAUGGACAGGACAGUGGGAAUCGACACCGAGAGGUGAAGGCAAUCCCCUAAACCUGCCCUUAGUUCGGAUUGUGGGCUGCAGCUCGCCCACAUGAAGCUGGAAUCCGUAGUAAUCGCGGAUCAACAUUCCGCGGUGAAUAU